CCAUCCUCAGGGACAUUCCCUGUGCCUGAGGAUGGGUGGGGAGGAAAAAGGGGUGGGGAAGUCUGGAGGGUGAUUGUGUCACUUGACACAGUCCCUUGUGAUGGAGGACCCGGUGAGUGAGGGAUGAGGGGGCCCGAGUGAGAUCCCUCCAAGAAAGGGAGGUUACGGCCCCAAAACGCCUGAAAAUUUAUGGAGGAUUCGUGUGUAAAAUACUGAAAACUGCAAAUAUUCCCAUUUUUGUAUAUUCUGAGAAAUUUUAAUGCAUUUAAAAACUGAUUCCGAAAUAAAACCCUGUGUCUGCUGUGUUAUAGUCAGGAUGUAGACUGUAAGGAACUGUGGUUACGGAGCUAGAGGGUGUGACAAUACAAACACAUUUCUCUAUCCGGGGCCAAGGCCGGGGCUGCUCCCGGGAGGAAACGCCGCAGGCCCCGGAACGGCAAUGCCGGAGCCCCGGGAGCGGCGGGGCCGGGCUCGGAGCCAAGAACAUCCCAAAGUGCCUCCUCACCCUCAUGGACAACAGGAAUGUCUUCCAUAGCUCCUGUUUGAGAAUGGCAAUGGCUGUUGGGAGCUCUGGCAGGAGCACCCGGAGACCAGCAGGGAAACAUUUAAAUAAGAAGUGCUGAAAAGAAUUGGAGCUUCUGCACAAUGAAAUCUGCAAGAAUCCAACUUCAAAUCCCCCUGGA
Molecule: long non-coding RNA, 683 nt
Filed under: Serinus canaria (Common canary)
Lineage: Eukaryota; Metazoa; Chordata; Aves; Passeriformes; Fringillidae
Description: lncRNA (ENSSCAG00000009965.1)
Source: RNAcentral